Drosophila virilis is the source of this 407-nucleotide long non-coding RNA. RefSeq lists it as uncharacterized. The record is from RefSeq and is a predicted model, not a curated record. NCBI's taxonomy places the organism in Eukaryota, Metazoa, Arthropoda, Insecta, Diptera, Drosophilidae.
UUCAUUUGGAGACGAUAUACAACAAAUCGCCAGUAAGCAGCAUUUAUUCAUUUUCAUUUUUUGCAAAAAAAGAAGAAAAAAAACUAACAAUUUUAAAGUGCAGUAAACAUAAGAACAAAGUGAUAAUUUUUGUAGGUGCACUAUGCUAUAGUUCGUUAGGUUCAGAAGUGUAAGUGUUUUAAUUAUCUCACCUCCGGAAACACCGAAUUGAACACAGACCGACUAAACACGAAUGCUCCCUCAAAUGCCUUUACUUUUGGAAGAUGUCCAAAUUAUUUGUCAUGCCCAAAUUUCUGCUGAUCUCAGCUUUGGAAGACUGUCAAAAUUGAAGUGUUGCCAACUUUGUGAAUUCAAAUUAUCUUUUGAUUUAUAAUUAAAAUUCUUGUGUAGUUUCUAUCCUAGAGAAA